This 612-nucleotide ribosomal RNA is filed under the name uncultured freshwater bacterium. Its description in RNAcentral is "bacterial SSU rRNA". It matches the Rfam family "Bacterial small subunit ribosomal RNA", at positions 8 to 607 of the family's 1533-position model. The record is from RNAcentral.
AGAGUUUGAUCCUGGCUCAGAACGAACGCUGGCGGCGUGGAUAAGACAUGCAAGUCGAACGCGAUUUUCUCGGUUAGCAAUAACUGAGAAAAUUGAGUGGCGAAUGGGUGCGUAACACGUGGGAAUUUAUCCGGAAGUGGGGGAUAGCUUGCCGAAAGGCAAAUUAAUACCGCAUAUGCCCGUAAGGGCAAAGUGGGGGACCGCAAGGCCUCACGCUAUCGGAGGAGCCCGCGCCCUGUCAGCUAGUUGGUGAGGUAAUGGCUCACCAAGGCUUAGACGGGUAGCUGGUCUGAGAGGACGACCAGCCACACUGGAACUGAGACACGGUCCAGACACCUACGGGUGGCAGCAGUCGAGGAUUUUUCUCGAUGGGGGCAACCCUGAAGGAGCGACGCCGCGUGGAGGAUGAAGGGCUUCGGCUCGUAAACUCCUGUCACCGACGAACAAGGCAUCCGAAUUAAUAAAUCGGAUGCUUGAUGGUAGUCGGAGAGGAAGGGGCGGCUAACUCUGUGCCAGCAGCCGCGGUGAUACAGAGGCCCCAAGCGUUGUUCGGAUUUACUGGGCGUANAGGGUGUGUAGGGGGUCGUGUAAGUUUGACGUGAAAUCCCGUUG